AUUGAGCGCCGGCGGCAGGCCUAACACAUGCAAGUCGAGCGGAUGAAGGGAGCUUGCUCCUGGAUUCAGCGGCGGACGGGUGAGUAAUGCCUAGGAAUCUGCCUGGUAGUGGGGGAUAACGUCCGGAAACGGGCGCUAAUACCGCAUACGUCCUGAGGGAGAAAGUGGGGGAUCUUCGGACCUCACGCUAUCAGAUGAGCCUAGGUCGGAUUAGCUAGUUGGUGGGGUAAAGGCCUACCAAGGCGACGAUCCGUAACUGGUCUGAGAGGAUGAUCAGUCACACUGGAACUGAGACACGGUCCAGACUCCUACGGGAGGCAGCAGUGGGGAAUAUUGGACAAUGGGCGAAAGCCUGAUCCAGCCAUGCCGCGUGUGUGAAGAAGGUCUUCGGAUUGUAAAGCACUUUAAGUUGGGAGGAAGGGCAGUAAGUUAAUACCUUGCUGUUUUGACGUUACCAACAGAAUAAGCACCGGCUAACUUCGUG
RNAcentral lists this ribosomal RNA (484 nucleotides) under uncultured bacterium. RNAcentral's name for it is "partial 16S ribosomal RNA". It matches the Rfam family "Bacterial small subunit ribosomal RNA", at positions 30 to 507 of the family's 1533-position model. The record is from RNAcentral.